Molecule: long non-coding RNA, 1715 nt
Organism: Oreochromis aureus
Lineage: Eukaryota; Metazoa; Chordata; Actinopteri; Cichliformes; Cichlidae
Exons: 3
Source: RefSeq, a predicted model, not a curated record
AUGACCACAUUAAUAUUAUUUUGUGCAAAACACUCAUGUAACGGGACAUUUUUCAUUACUAUAUGUAUUUAUUUUCAGUUUCUUUAAAAGGAUGGAAAAUCCAUGUAGCAGGAAUUCAUUUUAUGUUAGAAAGUAGUGAGGGCGGAACUUUGGUGGUUGCUCCGGGGUUUCGGGGUGCAGUAAGUGGAGCCCACCUUCCGCUGCUUCCUCAGACACGUUCUGGAGGAAAGCAGAGACGCAUCGUGUCUUCCUUACUCCGCUCUUCACCUGCUUUUACAGGUCGGUAAAUGGUGCUCGCACCGAAAACUUUGUUUAUUGUUACCAUGGUUACCCACGUUAACGCGAAUGAGAGAGUUAAGGCGGUCCGCCCGAGUUAUUUAUAUGUAAACACGGGAGAAACCAGAGGAGUGUCCCGUGCGGCCGCAUCGCGAGCCCGCUCGUUAAGUAGAGCGCUCGUGAAGCAGAGUCAGUACGCUCCUAUGCUCUGUGCAAAUGUGUUGUAAUGUUCCGAUCAAACCAGUUCUGUGAGAUGUGAAUGUUAAUAGUUAUGUUAAAGUGACUGAGUAGAUUAGCUAGUGUAACACAAGCACUCUGAGCAACUCUGUGUAGCUAACAGAGGCAUUCACAGUUAAUUAAAUAAGCUGGGUUUCAUGAUACACUAAAUAGUGAUUUUGCCAGUAAAUUACUGAAGGAAACAAAUGUGAUGUAUUUACUGAUGCUGUUAUUGAAUAUAACUGUUUAGCCAGUAAGACACUGUAGAAGACAAUGUGAUGUGUUUAUUGAUAUGGUAAAGGAAUGUAACUGUUAUGUAAAGAAGUGUGAAUUUGAGAAACUGAACCAGUUACAGAGAGUAUAUUUCACUGAGGUUGUGAAAUAAGUAAAUGUAAUUGAUGUGAAUGAGGAACCAACUGAUUAGUAUUUUGAAAGCUCAUGUUUAGUGUUAUAUAGCAUUUAUUUGUGUAAAAUAAAUCAGACUCAGACACGUUCUGGAGGAAAGCAGAGACGCAUCGUGUCUUCCUUACUCCGCUCUUCACCUGCUUUUACAGGUGGGCUUACCUUUCUUGGUUUGCCUGGUUUUAUUUAGCCCAUUCUGGACUAUUUUCUGCACUUCCGCUUCCAUGGCUGGCUAGAGCGACCUUCCGCUGUGUAUUGUGCUGGUGCUAGGAAUCCGACAUUGCCUCCGCUCUUUGGUCCCAGUUUGCGGGGAGCUGCAUGGGACUGUGAUUGAGGCUGUGACAAUCAUAACCAGCACCAGCUGUGGGUUGACUCGCAGAGUACAAGUAAUUCCUGUGUGUGUGAUUAAAGUGAACGGAGGACGCGCCAGUGGCCCUGGAACUGUAGGUGGUGGGUCGUUUUCACACUUUCCUUUUUUUUGUACAGCACUGGGUGCAGGCUGUAGUGAUUUCUCCAUGUGAUUUUCUUUUGGGUCCACAGCUGCUGUUAAGUCCUAGUUCAAUUACUGUUUUAUUGUAAUUUAUGACAAUUUCAGCAACGGCGCUACAUUCAGUUUUCCUACUGUUUUAUUCUUCAUUUAAUUUCUAGAAUUAUAAAUAAAACUGAGAUAUUUGUGCCAACCUGCGUCAGUGUGCAUCCCUGAACCUGUGUGUGGUUUUGAUGGUUAUUUUGUCAUGAUCCUGGGUCUUUUGACCCAGUGUUUUCUAUUAUUGUAAUGUAUUUUGGUUCUAGUUUUCUAUUUCUUUGGUUGUUGGUUCUGU